GGGGCUGAUUCUGGAUUCGACGGGAUUUGCGAAACCCAAGGUGCAUGCCGAGGGGCGGUUGGCCUCGUAAAAAGCCGCAAAAAAUAGUCGCAAACGACGAAAACUACGCUUUAGCAGCUUAAUAACCUGCUUAGAGCCCUCUCUCCCUAGCCUCCGCUCUUAGGACGGGGAUCAAGAGAGGUCAAACCCAAAAGAGAUCGCGUGGAGGCCCUGCCUGAGGUUGAAG
This 226-nucleotide transfer-messenger RNA is filed under the name Escherichia coli. RNAcentral describes it as "partial transfer-messenger RNA". It matches the Rfam family "transfer-messenger RNA", at positions 1 to 230 of the family's 374-position model. Rfam says of the family: Bacterial tmRNA, also known as 10Sa RNA or SsrA, is named for its dual tRNA and mRNA-like properties. The record is from RNAcentral. Lineage: Bacteria; Pseudomonadati; Pseudomonadota; Gammaproteobacteria; Enterobacterales; Enterobacteriaceae.